ACACCAAACACGCUCGCCGCGUUGACUAGCUGCUUUCCCUUUAGUGUAUCACUUAUUAAAUUAGGGACGGUUAGCGCAAAUAACCCUCGUGUAUUUUUGCGCGAAAUUGAAACCAAGCUAUUUUUAGUGGAACGUGGUUUACUAAUGCUACUGUUGUUAUCAGAAAUCUCGGAAUACUAUCUCGUUUUUCGUCCUAGCUUUGUAAGAAAUAUUUUAAGAGAUUCCUAAACACAGAAUAGCUGAAUCAUAAAUCUAAUGUUAUUAGUGAUUAUUGAUCACAGAACUGCUUAAUCGCAACUCAUGGCCAUCAUCGGAAAACAAAACGGAUAAGACAUGUUGCUCGGAGAAUAUCCGUGGUUGCUUCUUCAAAAUAACAAGAACAUAAAGCUUUGCUAGGAUUGGAAGUAACUCGGCUGUUAGUAUAUCCUGUUCCACUACCGCCCCGGAAUGUAACUGCAUCUACUCCCCCUUGGGCCAUUAUUAGUCUCAAAGGUUUCGUCUCGUUUCUUGCAACGACAACUGUUUUGCAUGAUUCACUGGAAUCUUGGAACUAAUCUACAAGUUAAGGACAAGGUGUGCUAAUAGAAAACAUGUCUUCCAAAAACCCAUUUAACAUUAAAGUCGACCCAACCAGAGAAGUAGCUCCAGUAAACAGGAAGGACAGGAAACCACUACCUAGUUCUGGCUCUAAACCUACGCAAGCUCCAAAAGUUAAUAAUCCUCCAAAAUUACCUGAACCGUCUCCUCAAUCCACCCCCUCGCCACUGACCUUCAAAAAAUAAUCCCAAUAGUGUGUGGGAAACUCCAGUUUAAAUCAGCCGAAAAUCUGUGUAUCCGGAACAACGAAUCUACUAACUUCAUGAAAAACCACUUAUCCUGAAAUAAGAAAUCCAGUUUUUACAAGCUUUUUGGAGGACAUAAGUUUUAUAGUGUUUUCUGUUGGAUAUAUUAAAGUAUUUCAUGAGCACAUAUAUAUAUAUAUACACACUAUAUUUUCUUCAUUUCAUUCAUAUUAGUUUUUCGUAAGCGUUGUAUCUUAAUAAAUCUAGAAAUUAUUAUUCC
Molecule: long non-coding RNA, 1062 nt
Organism: Limulus polyphemus (Atlantic horseshoe crab)
Lineage: Eukaryota; Metazoa; Arthropoda; Merostomata; Xiphosura; Limulidae
Exons: 3
Source: RefSeq, a predicted model, not a curated record